This 2038-nucleotide long non-coding RNA is filed under the name Brassica rapa (field mustard). RNAcentral's name for it is "long non-coding RNA (BRAP_LNC004837)". Lineage: Eukaryota; Viridiplantae; Streptophyta; Magnoliopsida; Brassicales; Brassicaceae. The record is from RNAcentral.
UUUAAUAUAAAUAGGAAACGGUGUUGAACCUAGGGUUAUCUCAACAGCCGCUUCCAUCCUUGCGCUUCUCAAAACUUUUUUUUUCAUCGCUUCCUUUAGAUCUCGCUUCUAUGGCGGCGAAUCUUUUAUUUAUAGCUUCUGUUUGUAAUAGCGAGUCCUCCGAUCUACACAACGGUGUUGAUUUUCCAUCGAUUUAAUCGCUUCUAUGUCUUUCAUCGGUAGAUCUGAUGCAGAUCUCAUGAAAUCUAUACUUCCUCUAAGGGUAAAUCUUAUCUCAUGUCACCGUUUGUUUUUUACUUGAUUUUGGUUUCUGAUCACGUUUCUUUUUUACUCUGGUGUUAGAUCUGCCGGUGGGAUCAUCGCGUGAGGGGUGUCUAUUAUGCAAAUCGGUUGCGUUGAAGCGCGUUGAGGCUGAAUCGAAUUCGUUUAUGGACGUGAAGCUGUGUUCUUGUGUGGGUUAAGUUAAAAUUAGGAUGUAGAAGAUGUUGAAUUGCAUCUUUUGUCAUCCGACCUUUGCCAUGUCAGGUGCGCUUGCAUGGCAGGUCAAAAACAGAUCUUAAUAAAACAAUAUGUUUUGUGGUUGGGAGGGGAGUUCGCACGGGUGUUUUUUUUUUAUCCCGGGUUCUCCUCUUCCUGUGUGCGUGUCUUGCUCUCUGCGAAAUUUCACACUAUUUAUUAUUAUGCACCGUAACUCAACAGAUAGCCAUGAAACACUUAUAUCUCAUUCGACCUGGAGCUGUAACACUUUGCGCCAUUCAUGCCCCACCCAACAAGCAUGCGCUCGUAAGUAUGUUAUUUUUGAUAAUUUAGUCACUCAGAAUAAUAUCCAAUCACACCCAUGCAUAUUAACAAUCAUACGUACAUUAAUCAUUACUUCCGUCAUGAAUUUUACAAAUUCGUUGCCCAAAUUUAUUGGGCCAACUAGUUACUUUUCAUUCUAUUAUUUGUUUCUCUUUUUUGAGUGAAUUGACAAACCCUACUGAUCUAAAAGCUUUCUAUGCUGUAGACAGUAUUUUUUUAUUUAUAUUUCUAAGUUUAUAAGUAUCUGUUUGAUUUAUAUAGUUAGAGAACAUCACAAGAUUAUGUAUCCGAAAUUUGAUGGCUGAAGGGUGAGAAUGGGAUAUCAUAUUAGCUUGUGGAGCAAUACAUUGGAAGCUAUAGCGUGGAGCAGUGUGAAUACAACAGCUCUUUGUAGACUCAUCCUAUAAAGCUUAUUGUAAAUGAAGGUAUUAAAAUGCUGUGUGUACACAUUGAUUAAUUUCCUUAACAUAUAUCGAAGUGUAUCCAUUAUUACACUCCAUGUUUUCAUUUUGUUUUGAUGUGAAUAUAUUUUUGCCGAUAAUUCACUAAUAAAAUUGAUAUUAUUGUUUAAAAUUUCUUCUCCCAUGGUAGUUUUAUCUUUUCAAAUUUUUGUUCUGUCCGCAAGUGAAAGGUUACUUGAUCGUGUUGCUAAGUAUAUGAACAGUCUGUUUGUCUUGCCAUGAGCACAUUUUGAGUUUUCAAGAUUCGAUAAUAGAUCUGUAAGCUCAAAACGGGAGAGCGCUCUUCUUCUUUUGAAGUUGAGAGGUUGGUGGUUCGAGUCCACCCAGAUUUGCUCUAAUUUGCUUUUUAUUGUAAUUUCUAUGAAAUGUUCCAAUUCUUGUCAUUUCCCUGAUGGCCUGAUCUACUUAUUAAAUCGAUCGAUCAUUAAUCUCAUUUUUGGUAGCAACAGUGCAGCGUAUUUGAUGGACAACGUUUCUUCCAAUUUAUCGCUUCUUAGUAUUCUGUCUCUUCCCGACGAAAUAUUUGGAUUGUUAAACAGGACGUGGCCUGGAGUUUUGGUACAAGAGGACGUGGCCUAGAGUUCUGGUAUUUAAGUUAUACCUACUGCUUCACUACAACACGAAAUGAGUCAAGAGUCUCAUCGACUUAUCUUUACCUUUUAUCAGGACGAGUUGCAUUCAUUAUUGGGGAUGGUUUCUGUUAUAAAAGAAUGAACCAUAAUAACGUACUCCGGCAUUCAUUAUUGUAGUAGUAGGGCUUUAUACACUAAGCGAUG